RNAcentral lists this ribosomal RNA (253 nucleotides) under uncultured bacterium. Its description in RNAcentral is "partial 16S ribosomal RNA". It matches the Rfam family "Bacterial small subunit ribosomal RNA", at positions 524 to 776 of the family's 1533-position model. The record is from RNAcentral.
UACGUAGGGUGCGAGCGUUAAUCGGAAUUACUGGGCGUAAAGCGUGCGCAGGCGGUUUUGUAAGACAGGUGUGAAAUCCCCGGGCUUAACCUGGGAACUGCGUUUGUGACUACAAGACUAGAGUGUAGCAGAGGGGGGUAGAAUUCCACGUGUAGCAGUGAAAUGCGUAGAGAUGUGGAGGAACACCGAUGGCGAAGGCAGCCCCCUGGGUUAACACUGACGCUCAGGCACGAAAGCGUGGGGAGCAAACAGG